UGUCUUGAAUUUUUCUUAAAAAAGACUAUUUUAUGUAUUGAUAGUCUGACUAUCUAUGGCAAUAAACCGUCUAUGUAAUAGGCGUUGCGGACCCGGGGGCGGUACCCGGCGUCUCCACCAAUUUCCUUUAUGGGGACGAAACAGGAUCGACGUGCGUAAUAAAGAUAUUCGUUUUGCUCGGAAUGGUACCAACGUUAUCGGACUAAAUUUGAUAAGAGGCAACGUAAGUUCUUCUUCAACUGGUGCUGCUCGUGGUCAAACACGUACAGCAGCUAAUGCUAACAACCGCAGAGCUAGCAAUAGCAAUACGCGUCGUGACGCAGUAGCUAAAGCUGCUUAAAAGUUCGUUUUACGAAUAAUACAGUAGUUUUCCAGUAGCGGUUUGGGGGGCCCCGGGCAACAGAAUGCCCCCCACU
This 416-nucleotide transfer-messenger RNA is filed under the name Candidatus Paracaedibacteraceae bacterium. It matches the Rfam family "Alphaproteobacteria transfer-messenger RNA". Rfam says of the family: Bacterial tmRNA, also known as 10Sa RNA or SsrA, is named for its dual tRNA and mRNA-like properties. Lineage: Bacteria; Pseudomonadati; Pseudomonadota; Alphaproteobacteria; Holosporales; Candidatus Paracaedibacteraceae. The record is from RNAcentral.